GAUGAACGCUGGCGGCGUGCCUAAUACAUGCAAGUCGAGCGAACAGACGAGGAGCUUGCUCCUCUGACGUUAGCGGCGGACGGGUGAGUAACACGUGGAUAACCUACCUAUAAGACUGGGAUAACUUCGGGAAACCGGAGCUAAUACCGGAUAAUAUAUUGAACCGCAUGGUUCAAUAGUGAAAGACGGUUUUGCUGUCACUUAUAGAUGGAUCCGCGCCGCAUUAGCUAGUUGGUAAGGUAACGGCUUACCAAGGCAACGAUGCGUAGCCGACCUGAGAGGGAGACGGCCAACAGUGGAAUAGAGACGGGGCCAAGCUCCUGCGGGGAGGAGAAAGGGGGAAUUUUUGCAAAAGGGGGAAAAGUUGGAAGGACAAGCCCGGGGGGGGGAAAGAAGGUUUUCGGAUCGAAAAACUUUUUUAUAGGGGAAAAAAAAUGUGGAAGUAAACAUGGCCCUUUUGGGGGGACCCAAACAGAAGAACCCGGGCAAGCACGGGC
This 497-nucleotide ribosomal RNA is filed under the name uncultured bacterium. RNAcentral describes it as "partial 16S ribosomal RNA". It matches the Rfam family "Bacterial small subunit ribosomal RNA", at positions 28 to 508 of the family's 1533-position model. The record is from RNAcentral.